UCCGGUUUGUCACCGGCGGUCUCCUUAGAGUUCCCAACUUAAUGAUGGCAACUAAGGACAAGGGUUGCGCUCGUUGCGCCACUUAAGGCAACACCUCACGGCACGAGCUGACGACAGCCAUGCACCACCUGUGCAGGCUCCGAAGAGCACCCGCUUUCACGGGUUUCACCCUGCAUGUCAAGCCCUGGUAAGGUUCUUCGCGUCGCAUCGAAUUAAACCACACGCUCCGCUGCUUGUGCGGGCCCCCGUCAAUUUCUUUGAGUUUUAACCUUGCGGCCGUACUCCCCAGGCGGAUAACUUAACGCGUUAGCUGCGCCACCGAAGCUCUAAGAGCCCCGACAGCUAGUUAUCAUCGUUUACGGCGUGGACUAC
Molecule: unclassified non-coding RNA, 372 nt
Filed under: uncultured bacterium
Lineage: Bacteria
Description: contains 16S-23S intergenic spacer region
Source: RNAcentral